GAGGAGGGGCGCUAGCCCAAUCAGAUGGCCCGGGAAGCUCCAGCUCGUACUCUGGAGGAACUCCAUACUGAAUCCUUAUCAGUGAGAGUUCAUCCGGAGUCAAGAAGCCAGGGAUGGUGUCUGGUGCAAAGGCCGGACAAGGUUCGAUCCUAGCUACGGGUUCAUCUACGUUACCAGUACUAUAGGGAAUUGGGGCUGACAAACUCCUAGAACUACUAGAAGAGGAG
RNAcentral lists this long non-coding RNA (227 nucleotides) under Elaeis guineensis (African oil palm). Its description in RNAcentral is "long non-coding RNA (EGUI_LNC080582)". The record is from RNAcentral. Lineage: Eukaryota; Viridiplantae; Streptophyta; Magnoliopsida; Arecales; Arecaceae.